UUGUGUACAAAAUAACCCGUGACUGCAUCAAAUUAUUGAGAUAGUGACUUCUUGUGUACAAAAUAAGUAAAGUGAACCUGUCACGUUCAUCCACUAAACUUCAAAGAGAAAGUCUCAGUUGAAUCCAAAGGGCUGUUGAUUCCAUAGUCGUAGCUAUCAACAAGUCCCAUGUCUUCUUCUUCAGAACUGUAGUCCAAAGGGCUGUUGAUUCCAUAGUCGUAGCUAUCACCAAGUCCCAUGUCUUCUUCAACCUACAACCAAAAA
RNAcentral lists this long non-coding RNA (264 nucleotides) under Arabidopsis lyrata. Its description in RNAcentral is "long non-coding RNA (ALYR_LNC001065)". The record is from RNAcentral. Lineage: Eukaryota; Viridiplantae; Streptophyta; Magnoliopsida; Brassicales; Brassicaceae.